GUACCCGCUGAACUUAAGCAUAUCAAUAAGCGGAGGAAAAGAAACCAACAGGGAUUGCCUCAGUAACGGCGAGUGAAGCGGCAACAGCUCAAAUUUGAAAUCUGGCCCCUUCGGGGUCCGAGUUGUAAUUUGUAGAGAGUGCUUCGGGGGAGACCGCGGUCUAAGUCCAUUGGAACAUGGCGUCAUAGAGGGUGAGAAUCCCGUAUGUGACCGUGGCUCGAACCCGUGUGAAGCCUCUUCGACGAGUCGAGUUGUUUGGGAAUGCAGCUCAAAAUGGGUGGUAAAUUUCAUCUAAAGCUAAAUACUGGCUGGAGACCGAUAGCGCACAAGUAGAGUGAUCGAAAGAUGAAAAGCACUUUGGAAAGAGAGUUAAAAAGUACGUGAAAUUGUUGAAAGGGAAGCGCUGGCAACCAGACCUGCCCGUAGGCGAUCAGCCGCUGUUCUCAGCGGUGCACUCGCUCUGCGAUCAGGCCAGCAUCGGUUCCGGCGGUCGGAUAAAGGCCUUGGGAAUGUAGCUGCCCUUCGGGGGAGUCUUAUAGCCCUCGGUGCAAUGCGGCCAGCCGGGACCGAGGACCGCGCUUCGGCUAGGAUGCUGGCGUAAUGGUUGUCAGCGACCCGUCUUGAAACACGGACCAAGGAGUCUAACAUCUAUGCGAGUGUUUGGGUGUCAAACCCAUGCGCGGAAUGAAAGUGAACGGAGGUGACAACCCUUAAGGGCGCAUCAUCGCCCGAUCCAGAUGUCUUCGGAUGGAUUUGAGUAUGAGCAUAGCUGUUGGGACCCGAAAGGUAAAACCCAACUGUCUCUCCUUUUAUAGAGUUCAAUGCUAAUGUAUUUUCCAGAUGGUGAACUAUGCCUGAAUAGGGUGAAGCCAGAGGAAACUCUGGUGGAGGCUCGCAGCGGUUCUGACGUGCAAAUCGAUCGUCAAAUUUGGGUAUAGGGGCGAAAGACUAAUCGAACCAUCUUUUUUACGCGCUACGUAGGUGGCUAAUCGAAGUCCUCCGCUCCGGCGGGGCGGCUUCCAGUCCUUCGGGGCGACAUCACUACCUGCAUGAACACCCCUCCGGGUGGACAUGCUGCAAGCCCCCCCGGCUCGCCCGGGGGUUCUUGUCCACAGACCAAAUAGUGGUGGCCGGGCGGGCCCUCCCUGGGNCCGCCUGGUUGAGAAAUGGCCGAGUCNNACUUCUGAUCGAGUCGGUUUCCACGCUAGUAGCUGGUUCCUGCCGAAGUUUCCCUCAGGAUAGCAGUAACGUUUUCAGUUUUAUGAGGUAAAGCGAAUGAUUAGAGGCCUUGGGGUUGAAACAACCUUAACCUAUUCUCAAACUUUAAAUAUGUAAGAAGUCCUUGUUGCUUAGUUGAACGUGGACAUUUGAAUGCACCGUUACUAGUGGGCCAUUUUUGGUAAGCAGAACUGGCGAUGCGGGAUGAACCGAACGCGAGGUUAAGGUGCCGGAAUGUACGCUCAUCAGACACCAAGAUUGGCUUUGUGGUGUCCAGCCCGGCCUAAUUCCGAUUUGACGGGCGCAGUCUUUGCCCAAAGGCGAGGUCUUUGAUUUGCAGGGGCCCGCUUACAUAGCUCACCCUUGGCCAUUUUAUAUGGCUCACAGAUCAGGCAAAGGCCGGCGGUCCCCCCGGGGGACCGCUUGAGAUAUGAUCGGCUUCCGGGCUCCAAGCCCGGGAACGAAGCGCAAAAGGUGUUGAUUCAUCUAGACAGCCGGACGGUGGCCAUGGAAGUCGGAACCCGCUAAGGAGUGUGUAACAACUCACCGGCCGAAUGAAUCAGCCCUGAAAAUGGAUGGCGCUCAAGCGUGCUACCCAUACCUCGCCGCCAGGGUAGAAACGAUGCCCUGGCGAGUAGGCAGGCGUGGGGGUCAGUGACGAAGCCUUGGGAGUGAUCCCGGGUCGAACGGCCCCUAGUGCAGAUCUUGGUGGUAGUA
RNAcentral lists this ribosomal RNA (1935 nucleotides) under Melanelixia fuliginosa. Its description in RNAcentral is "partial 28S ribosomal RNA". It matches the Rfam family "Eukaryotic large subunit ribosomal RNA", at positions 22 to 1462 of the family's 3401-position model. Lineage: Eukaryota; Fungi; Ascomycota; Lecanoromycetes; Lecanorales; Parmeliaceae. The record is from RNAcentral.